UUACCAGAGAUGGUUUGGUGCUCGAAAGAGAACCUGCACACAGGUGCUGCAUGGCUGUCGUCAGCUCGUGUCGUGAGAUGUUGGGUUAAGUCCCGCAACGAGCGCAACCCUUGCCAUUAGUUGCUACAUUCAGUUGAGCACUCUAAUGGGACUGCCGGUGACAAACCGGAGGAAGGUGGGGAUGACGUCAAGUCCUCAUGGCCCUUAUAGGUGGGGCUACACACGUCAUACAAUGGCUGGUACAAAGGGUUGCCAACCCGCGAGGGGGAGCUAAUCCCAUAAAGCCAGUCGUAGUCCGGAUCGCAGUCUGCAACUCGACUGCGUGAAGUCGGAAUCGCUAGUAAUCGUGGAUCAGAAUGUCACGGUGAAUACGUUCCCGGGUCUUGUACACACCGCCCGUCACACCAUGGGAGCGGGUCU
RNAcentral lists this ribosomal RNA (420 nucleotides) under uncultured bacterium. Its description in RNAcentral is "bacterial SSU rRNA". It matches the Rfam family "Bacterial small subunit ribosomal RNA", at positions 997 to 1417 of the family's 1533-position model. The record is from RNAcentral.